AGUGAACGCUGGCGGUAGGCCUAACACAUGCAAGCCGAACGGCAGCACAGGAGAGCUUGCUCUCUGGGUGGCGAGUGGCGGACGGGUGAGGAAUACAUCGGAAUCUACUCUGUCGUGGGGGAUAACGUAGGGAAACUUACGCUAAUACCGCAUACGACCUACGGGUGAAAGCAGGGGAUCUUCGGACCUUGCGCGAUUGAAUGAGCCGAUGUCGGAUUAGCUAGUUGGCGGGGUAAAGGCCCACCAAGGCGACGAUCCGUAGCUGGUCUGAGAGGAUGAUCAGCCACACUGGAACUGAGACACGGUCCAGACUCCUACGGGAGGCAGCAGUGGGGAAUAUUGGACAAUGGGCGCAAGCCUGAUCCAGCCAUACCGCGUGGGCGAAGAAGGCCUUCGGGUUGUAAAGCCCUUUUGUUGGGAAAGAAAUCCAGCUGGCUAAUACCCGGUUGGGAUGACGGUACCCAAAGAAUAAGCACCGGCUAACUUCGUGCCAGCAGCCGCGGUAA
This 506-nucleotide ribosomal RNA is filed under the name uncultured bacterium. RNAcentral's name for it is "partial 16S ribosomal RNA". It matches the Rfam family "Bacterial small subunit ribosomal RNA", at positions 29 to 523 of the family's 1533-position model. The record is from RNAcentral.